UCGAGGAUCUUCGGCAAUGGGCGCAAGCCUGACCGAGCGACGCCGCGUGUGCGAUGAAGGCCUUCGGGUCGUAAAGCACUGUCGUGGGGGAGAAAAGGGGCAACCCUUGAUCGACCCCAGGAGGAAGCACGGGCUAAGUUCGUGCCAGCAGCCGCGGUAAGACGAACCGUGCAAACGUUAUUCGGAAUCACUGGGCUUAAAGGGCGCGUAGGCGGGCCGUCAGGUCCGGGGUGAAAGCCUCCAGCUUAACUGGAGAAGUGCCUUGGAUACCGGCGGCCUCGAGGGAGGCAGGGGCGUGCGGAACUUCGGGUGGAGCGGUGAAAUGCGUAGAUAUCCGAAGGAACACCGGUGGCGAAAGCGGCGCGCUGGACCUCUUCUGACGCUGAGGCGCGAAAGCCAGGGGAGCAAACGGGAUUAGAUACCCCUGUAGUCC
This 433-nucleotide ribosomal RNA is filed under the name uncultured bacterium. RNAcentral describes it as "bacterial SSU rRNA". It matches the Rfam family "Bacterial small subunit ribosomal RNA", at positions 355 to 796 of the family's 1533-position model. The record is from RNAcentral.